Molecule: long non-coding RNA, 162 nt
Organism: Bubalus bubalis (water buffalo)
Lineage: Eukaryota; Metazoa; Chordata; Mammalia; Artiodactyla; Bovidae
Exons: 2
Source: RefSeq, a predicted model, not a curated record
AGAUACAGCAGGAGUUGGACAGGAGUAUAACUAGAGAACUAAGAGAAGCUGCUGCUGAAUUUGAAUCUGAGUCCUAUGGAUUGUCUCCUCUAGGAGCUACAGAUGGGUCAAAUCUGUCUCAGGACCUGCUUUUGAAAACAUCACAAGAAUAUGUACAGAUUU